RNAcentral lists this ribosomal RNA (497 nucleotides) under uncultured bacterium. RNAcentral's name for it is "partial 16S ribosomal RNA". It matches the Rfam family "Bacterial small subunit ribosomal RNA", at positions 28 to 507 of the family's 1533-position model. The record is from RNAcentral.
GAUGAACGCUGGCGGCGUGCCUAAUACAUGCAAGUCGAGCGAACAGACGAGGAGCUUGCGCCUCUGACGUUAGCGGCGGACGGGUGAGUAACACGUGGAUAACCUACCUAUCAGACUGGGAUAACUUCGGGAAACCGGAGCUAAUACGGGAUAAUAUAUUGAACCGCAUGGUUCAAUAGUGAAAGACGGUUUUGCUGUCACUUAUAGAUGGAUCUGCGCCGCAUUAGCUGGUUGGUAAGGUAACGGCCUACCAAGGCUACGAUGCGUGGCCGACCUGAGAGGGUGAUCGGCCACACGGGAACUGAGACACGGUCCAGGCUCCUACGGGAGGCAGCAGUAGGGAAUCUUCCGCAAUGGGCGAAAGCCUGACGGAGCAACGCCGCGUGAGUGAUGAAGGUCUUCGGAGCGUAAAACUCUGUUAUUAGGGAAGAACAAAUGUGUAAGUAACUAUGCACGUCUUGACGGUACCUAAUCAGAAAGCCACGGCUAACUACGUG